Molecule: ribosomal RNA, 511 nt
Filed under: uncultured diatom
Lineage: Eukaryota; Bacillariophyta
Description: bacterial SSU rRNA
Rfam family: Bacterial small subunit ribosomal RNA
Source: RNAcentral
CGCAAUGGGCGAAAGCCUGACGGAGCAAUACCGCGUGAGGGAAGACUGCCUAUGGGUUGUAAACCUCUUUUUUCAGGGAGGAAUAAAAUGACGUGUACCUGAAGAAUAAGCAUCGGCUAACUCCGUGCCAGCAGCCGCGGUAAGACGGAGGAUGCAAGUGUUAUCCGGAAUCACUGGGCGUAAAGCGUCUGUAGGUGGUUUAAUAAGUCAACUGUUAAAUCUUGAGGCUUAACUUCAAAAUCGCAGUCGAAACUAUUAGACUAGAGUAUAGUAGAGGUAAAGGGAAUUUCCAGUGGAGCGGUGAAAUGCGUAGAUAUUGGAAAGAACACCGAUGGCGAAAGCACUUUACUGGGCUAUUACUAACACUCAGAGACGAAAGCUAGGGUAGCAAAUGGGAUUAGAUACCCCAGUAGUCCUAGCCGUAAACGAUGGAUACUAGAUGUUGAACAGAUCGACCUGUGCAGUAUCAAGCUAACGCGUUAAGUAUCCCGCCUGGGAAGUAUGCUCGCAA